CCCGGUUUAACAAGAACUAUAAGGGCAUGAGUCUAUCCAAAAUCACCACCACCGUGGGUCUAAACAUUGGCACUGUCGAUGUGGGAAAGUCUCGCCUCCUGUUCUGGGACUUAGGGGGGCAGGAGGAGCUGCAGUCUCUGUGGGACAAGGUAAUACGGAUGCCGUGCACUGCCUGCCCCUCGGGCCAUCUCUCCCCAGGUGGCACCCCUGGGCCUCUUCCUCUCUCUCCUCCGGAAGCCUCAGCAUCAUUGUCCUUCCCUCCUGUCAGCAGCUCCCUUCACCCACUUUGUUCCUGAGCUGUCCGCUCCCCUAGUCCUUUGCCAGUUCCCGCGUUGCUCCCCCGACAGUGAGGACACACUUGGUUCCUUUUAGCUUAGAGACUGUGUUGCUAAACAUGGCCAAGAAACAGAUGUGGGGAAGGUGCCAAACCUGUGGUGCUCAGCUCCACCACCCGGGCCUGUGUCCCCUGCUUAGGACCUGUUCCCCAUGGUGGCUCCUUCCCCAUCGGGGAGGAUGUCUUCAAAGCCCACAGUAACUGUCUCAUCUUUCGCCGUAGGUUUGGGGCAUUUCUCAGACCUUACUGUGGUGCUCCUGCCCCGACACCCCAAGGCUGGAGUCUGUAUCCAGCUCAGCCUGCGCCCAGCACUGGGGUCCAGUGGUGAGCAGGGCAGACCUAGCUCCUUCCCUGGGCAGCCCCCUCUGGUGGAUUGGCAGGGUGGGUUGGUCCAGCCCAGUGCUGGGCGCAGGUAUACCUGCCCUGACGCUUGCCGGUAGCCCAUGUGUUUACAACUGAGUGCCCAGGCCCUGAUUUCUGGUGUGACUCCAGUAGCAGGUACCCAGUGACCUUUUUCUAGUCCCCUCAAAGCAUCUUCUCCUGCUCUCUUUUCUAACCAGGAGAGUAGCUUAUGUCCUGUGGUCAAAAGAUCACUGAUAGGCCCUCUGUGGCUGUUUAAGUUGGACUGAGGCAGUCCAAACCCCAGACCCAUGUGGGGAGUGAAACAGAUCCUGAUGUUUUGUCACAGGCCAGGGUCUCAGGAGCAGAGGCUGAGACAGAGGUUGGGGUGCGUAUUGGUGACCAGCACCUGGGAAGGGAGCCGAGAGGAUGCAGGACCAGGCAGGGCUCCCAUGCUGGGGCUGGAGGGACCGUGGAGAGGAGAAUUGCUCAUGGCUGCCCCCUGUCAGGCCAUGCUGGCCAGGACUCCCUGCUGCCUGGCAGCUCACCAUGGUGGGCUGCUCUAGGCAGCUGUGAUCUGCUAAGGCGGCCCUUUGUGGAUCAAAGUGGGUCCUGCAGGAGCCAACUAGAGGCUGACGACUGGGCACACAGCCUGCCACUGGGCAGCCAGGCCGCAGCAAGGGACAGGUUCCUGUGCAGUCACCGCCCACCGUGCUCUGCUCGCCUCCACGCCCUGCGUUGGGGAGUGGAUCCUCCAAGACCAGGGCCUUCUCCUGAGGGGAAGCUGGAAGAAGGAGAGAGGGACAAACUGUAGGCCGGCUUUGCAGCUGGUUGUGGCCACCUUCACUGCCACUCCUGCCCGUGCUGUGGCCUCGUCAUGAGGGUCUGAGCCCCUGCCUGCUGAGCCCUCCUCUGGUGGACUCCUGGGUUCCUCACAUGCUCCCUGGCCUGCCAGGGAGUGGGUGCCCUACCUCCUGCCAGGGAGGGGUCUCUGCUGAGCCCUGGACACUAGUUGCCCAAUGUGCUCAGGAGGCAGCCAGGGGUCGUGACUCAGGGGGUCUCCUGCUGAGCGGCUGCCUUGGUGCUGACCACACCCCCAGCCCUGCAGAGCCCAGGCCUGGGGAUGGACAGCAGAGUCCCCUGUGGGUCCCCGGGGGGUAGGAAGUAGAGUUCUUAACUCUCUCUCCAGGUCCUCAGUGCUGCGUCCUAGUCCCUGGUCCCCAUGCAGUCCAGCACUGCAGCACUCUGUUGGGCCAGCUGAGUCAUUUUGUCCCUGGUGGAUGUCUGGUGGACCUUUACUCUUGUGUACACUGCCUCACGUCUGCCUCACACCUUCAUCUAGACUGUGUGGUGGUGUCCAUGGGUCUGUAUGCCGGCCAGCCUUGGGCCACGUCCACCCACAUGCGGGACCAGUUGGACCACCUGGCAGUCUGUCACAGGGAGGACUUCUGGCUCCUGUUCCUCCAGGCCACACACUUCAGCGUGUGCCCACCCAGAAGCCAAGGUUCCAAGCUUGAGCCCUUCUCACUUUCUGCUGGUUGUGUAGGAUCCCCCCAUGUGACCACAUGUGACGCAGCCGUCAGGCUUGGGAGCAUGGCAGGUGCUGUAGGGUCAGGGCAGCCUGCUGUGCCCUGGUCCUGCUCACACUCAGCCCCAGUCGUGCUGCUGUUGUCACUGCCACCACUGCUGGGCUGUCACCGUACAUCUGCCAGGUAUGGUGGUGGCUCCAGCACCCAUCUGCCAGGGCCCAGUUCCACACCAGGAGUGAAGUCCUCUGCCAGUGCCUGGGGCCCCAGUGGCUGCCUGGUGAUUCUCUCACUGGGCUUGCUGCAAACCCCACACAGUAGCCCUUCUUGUCUUGGAGACCUCCACUGUAGGGCCUGCCAGCUCCCUUGUUUCAGCCCCAAGACAGCCAGACUGCUCCUUGGAGCCCCUGCAGAAUGCCUGCAACUCUCCGUCGCCCAGCACAUAGGCCAGAGAAGUUCCUGUGUGUGGGGCUGGUGGUUUGCAGAACACUGGAGGCCCCUUGUUGGGUUCCUUCUCUGUGGCAAUGCAGAUAGAAAAGUUUGUCUUGUGCUGGGGUGGGGGUGCCCUGCUCAUUGCACCCCAAGAAUUGUCCAGGGCUACCAGGCUUGCCCCUCCCCAGUUGUCUCCCACCCUUGGGAACACAUGCAUCACCAGGGCCCUGAGCUUGCUGACCACUGGCUCGUCCUGCCCAGUCAGCAGAAUGGCCUUGCUGUAGCAGUCAGUGUGGUGGUCUGUCAAAUGUGCAGUUGUUCUGGGUCCCUGGGCUCUCUGAUGGACAAGCAGGACAGCUGGGGCCAAGUGGCCAAGAUGCUGCUGUCUGCUCCCCGAGAAUGCGGGUGCUCCUGACGUUCUCUUCUGAUCAGGAUAGGGGGUUGACUCGCCAGGUCUGUGGCUGCAUCCGUUCCGCCCUGUGCCCAGGGCGUCCCUCCCUCAGAUGUCCCCGCUUUGUGCAUCUGUCUUCCCAGAGGUCCUACGUUCCAUUCGCACCCGCAUAACUGGCCCCAGGCCCCAGUCUCUGGUGAUUAAAUGUUGCAGGGGCUCUUGUGACAGACACCAUUGGUGUCAGCAAGCCCAGGGCUGACCGCCCUGCUGGCACCAGUCUGGCCUAUAGAGCUGCAAGCUCGGUAGUGCCGGUUCCGUCUUUGGCCCUGCCAUCCUGUGUAGGGGCCAGAGCUGCUUCUAACGUGGUGUUGGCCUCACCUGUCAGGCUUACUGUCUGAGUCAGCACAAGGACCCACCAGAGCACUCUCUCCACCUCCAGGUCUUCAGAGGGACCGGCUUGGUCUGGUCUCGUCCAGUCCCCAAGCCUUAUCUUCCCCUUUUGGCCACCAGGAGGCUGCGGUCAUGGGCGGUUCUCAGGAGCAGACACUGAAUACUACGCAGAGUGCCAUGGUGUCAUCUAUGUCAUCGACUCCACUGACGAGGAGAGACUCUCGGAGUCCAAGCAAGCAUUCG
This is an RNA transcript of Equus quagga, 3655 nucleotides long. It is a transcript of the gene named ADP ribosylation factor related protein 1, with no coding region annotated. The transcript has 3 exons. NCBI's taxonomy places the organism in Eukaryota, Metazoa, Chordata, Mammalia, Perissodactyla, Equidae. The record is from RefSeq and is a predicted model, not a curated record.